GCGAGCAACGUGCCAGCGCGGGUGGGAGUAGGGAGGGUGGAGGGGUUGUCCGGAAGUAUUGGGCGUAAAGAGCUCGUAGGCGGCUGGUUGCGUCUGCUGUGAAAUCCCGGGGCUUAACCCCGGGCGGGCAGUGGAUACGGGCCGGCUGGAGGCAGGCAGGGGAGAAGGGAAUUCCCGGUGUAGCGGUGAAAUGCGCAGAUAUCGGGAGGAACACCGGUGGCGAAGGCGGUUCUCUGGGCCUGUUCUGACGCUGAGGAGCGAAAGCGUGGGGAGCGAACAGGAUUAGAUACCCUUGUAGUC
Molecule: ribosomal RNA, 300 nt
Filed under: uncultured Heliorestis sp.
Lineage: Bacteria; Bacillati; Bacillota; Clostridia; Eubacteriales; Heliobacteriaceae
Description: bacterial SSU rRNA
Rfam family: Bacterial small subunit ribosomal RNA
Source: RNAcentral